Molecule: ribosomal RNA, 495 nt
Filed under: uncultured bacterium
Lineage: Bacteria
Description: partial 16S ribosomal RNA
Rfam family: Bacterial small subunit ribosomal RNA
Source: RNAcentral
GAUGAACGCUGGCGGCGUGCCUAAUACAUGCAAGUCGAGCGAACAGACGAGGAGCUUGCUCCUCUGACGUUAGCGGCGGACGGGUGAGUAACACGUGGAUAACCUACCUAUAAGACUGGGAUAACUUCGGGAAACCGGAGCUAAUACCGGAUAAUAUAUUGAACCGCAUGGUUCAAUAGUGAAAGACGGUUUUGCUGUCACUUAUAGAUGGAUCCGCGCCGCAUUAGCUAGUUGGUAAGGUAACGGCUUACCAAGGCAACGAUGCGUAGCCGACCUGAGAGGGUGAUCGGCCACACUGGAACUGAGACACGGUCCAGACUCCUACGGGAGGCAGCAGUAGGGAAUCUUCCGCAAUGGGCGAAAGCCUGACGGAGCAACGCCGCGUGAGUGAUGAAGGUCUUCGGAUCGUAAAACUCCGUUAUUAGGGAAGAACAAAUGUGUAAGUAACUAUGCACGUCUUGACGGUACCUAAUCAGAAAGCCACGGCUAACUACG